AGAGUUUGAUCCUGGCUCAGAACGAACGCUGGCGGCAGGCCUAACACAUGCAAGUCGAACGAUGCCUUCGGGCAUAGUGGCGCACGGGUGAGUAACACGUGGGAACAUACCUUUUGGUGGGGGAUAACUUCGGGAAACUGAAGCUAAUACCGCAUACGCCCCUUGGGGGAAAGAUUUAUCGCCGAAAGAUUGGCCCGCGUCCGAUUAGCUAGUUGGUGAGGUAAUGGCUCACCAAGGCUCCGAUCGGUAGCUGGUCUGAGAGGAUGACCAGCCACACUGGGACUGAGACACGGCCCAGACUCCUACGGGAGGCAGCGGUGGGGAAUAUUGGACAAUGGGCGCAAGCCUGAUCCAGCCAUGCCGCGUGAGUGAUGAAGGCCUUAGGGUUGUAAAGCUCUUCACCCACGACGAUGAUGACGGUAGUGGAGAAGAG
RNAcentral lists this ribosomal RNA (433 nucleotides) under uncultured Alphaproteobacteria bacterium. RNAcentral describes it as "bacterial SSU rRNA". It matches the Rfam family "Bacterial small subunit ribosomal RNA", at positions 8 to 489 of the family's 1533-position model. The record is from RNAcentral. Lineage: Bacteria; Pseudomonadati; Pseudomonadota; Alphaproteobacteria.